GACAAAAACAUUUUGAUCGCGAUUCUUCCUCGACAAUCGAACAAACACCAUUUAUACAUGGACAAUCGAUCGUAUUUUGACCAUCAAUUUCAGCAACCACAAAAAUCAACCCAAAGAUAAUCAUUGAAAAUUUCAUUAUAGCACAAGGUAAAGUUGAAAAAUAUAUUUCCAGCAAGAAAAUUGCUAAAAUGCAGCAUUUUUUGUGUAAACAAUCGAUUAAUCAAUGGCCAGUACCAAAUGAUGAUGAUGACAUUUCCCGUUUAGA
Molecule: long non-coding RNA, 265 nt
Organism: Dermatophagoides pteronyssinus (European house dust mite)
Lineage: Eukaryota; Metazoa; Arthropoda; Arachnida; Sarcoptiformes; Pyroglyphidae
Source: RefSeq, a predicted model, not a curated record